Molecule: ribosomal RNA, 513 nt
Filed under: uncultured bacterium
Lineage: Bacteria
Description: partial 16S ribosomal RNA
Rfam family: Bacterial small subunit ribosomal RNA
Source: RNAcentral
GACGAACGCUGGCGGCAUGCCUAAUACAUGCAAGUCGAGCGAACAGAUGAAGUGCUUGCACUUCUGACGUUAGCGGCGAACGGGUGAGUAACACGUAAGGAAUCUACCUAUAAGCGGGGGAUAACAUUCGGAAACGGGUGCUAAUACCGCAUAAUAUCUUCUUCCGCAUGGAAGAAGAUUGAAAGACGGCUCUGCUGUCACUUAUAGAUGACCUCGCGGUGCAUUAGUUAGUUGGUGGGGUAACGGCCUACCAAGACGAUGAUGCAUAGCCGACCUGAGAGGGUACUCGGACACAGUAGGACUGAGACACGGCCCAAACUCCUACGGGGGGCAGCAGUAGGGAAUCUUCCGCAAUGGGCGAAAGCCUGACGGAGCAAAGCCGCGUGAGUGAAGAAGGCCUUCGGGUCGUAAAACUCUGUUAUAAGAGAAGAACAAAUUGUAGAGUAACUGCUACAGUCUUGACGGUAUCUUAUCAGAAAGCCACGGCUAACUACGUGCCAGCCGCCGCAGUAA